ACCGGGGAGGGAGGAGGGAAAAGCCCAAAUUGUUAUUUGGGUCUUUUUUAUAAGGGUCCGAGUUGUAAUUUUGAGAACUGUUUUCCGUGCUGGACCAUGUACAAGUCUGUUGAAAAACAGCAUCAUUGAGGGUGAUAAUCCCGUAUAUGAUAUGGACUACCAGGGCAAUGUGAUACAGUCUCUAAGAGUCGAGUUGUUUGGGAAUGCAGCUCAAAGUGGGUGGUAAAUUCCAUCUAAGGCUAAAUAUAGGUGAGAGACCGAUAGCAAACAAGUACCGUGAGGGAAAGAUGAAAAGAACUUUGGAAAGAGAGUUAACAGUACGUGAAAUUGUUAAAAGGGAAACAUUUGAAGUUAGACUUGUUAUUGUUGGUUCAGCUCUUUUUAAGGGUGUAUUCCAAUGGUUAACAGACCAGCAUCAAUUUUUGGGUGUUAGAUAAGGGUCUUGAGAAUGUAGCAACCUCGGUUGUGUUAUAGAUCUUGACUUGAUAUAAUGCUUAGGAUUGAGGAACGCAGUGAGCUUCUUUUGAAGUGGAUGUUUUUAAUGUCUUCUCACUACGGAUGUGGGUAAUGUG
This 572-nucleotide ribosomal RNA is filed under the name Chrysomyxa rhododendri. RNAcentral describes it as "partial large subunit ribosomal RNA". It matches the Rfam family "Eukaryotic large subunit ribosomal RNA", at positions 85 to 636 of the family's 3401-position model. Lineage: Eukaryota; Fungi; Basidiomycota; Pucciniomycetes; Pucciniales; Coleosporiaceae. The record is from RNAcentral.